AUCAGCCCGCGCCCCGUAAAAAGGGACGGCCCGCCCGAGGACCCCUAAACUCUGUUUUUAGUGGAACUUCUGAGUAAAACAAACAAAUAAAUCAAAACUUUCAACAACGGAUCUCUUGGUUCUGGCAUCGAUGAAGAACGCAGCAAAAUGCGAUAAGUAAUGUGAAUUGCAGAAUUCAGUGAAUCAUCGAAUCUUUGAACGCACAUUGCGCCCGCCAGUAUUCUGGCGGGCAUGCCUGUUCGAGCGUCAUUUCAACCCUCAAGCUCAGCUUGGUGUUGGGACUCGCGGUAACCCGCGUUCCCCAAAUCGAUUGGCGGUCACGUCGAGCUUCCAUAGCGUAGUAAUCAUACACCUCGUUACUGGUAAUCGUCGCGGCCACGCCGUAAAACCCCAACUUCUGAAUGUUGACCUCGGAUCAGGUAGGAAUACCCGCUGAACUUAAGCAUAUCAAUAAGCGGAGGAAAAGAAACCAACAGGGAUUGCCCUAGUAACGGCGAGUGAAGCGGCAACAGCUCAAAUUUGAAAUCUGGCUCUCGGGCCCGAGUUGUAAUUUGUAGAGGAUGCUUUUGAUGCGGUGCCUUCCGAGUUCCCUGGAACGGGACGCCAUAGAGGGUGAGAGCCCCGUCUGGUUGGAUGCCAAAUCUCUGUAAAGCUCCUUCGACGAGUCGAGUAGUUUGGGAAUGCUGCUCUAAAUGGGAGGUAUAUGUCUUCUAAAGCUAAAUACCGGCCAGAGACCGAUAGCGCACAAGUAGAGUGAUCGAAAGAUGAAAAGCACUUUGAAAAGAGAGUUAAAAAGUACGUGAAAUUGUUGAAAGGGAAGCGUUUAUGACCAGACUUGGGCUUGGUUAAUCAUCUGGGGUUCUCCCCAGUGCACUUUUCCAGUCCAGGCCAGCAUCAGUUUUCGCCGGGGGAUAAAGGCUU
Molecule: ribosomal RNA, 921 nt
Filed under: fungal sp. AM0176
Lineage: Eukaryota; Fungi
Description: eukaryotic LSU rRNA
Rfam family: Eukaryotic large subunit ribosomal RNA (bases 406-921)
Source: RNAcentral